GUAGGUGAACCUGCGGAAGGAUCAUUACCGAGAUUAGGGUCCUUCGGGGCCCGACCCUCCCUACCCUUUGCGUAUCUACCUCUGUUGCUUCGGCGGAUCGCGGGAUCCGUGCGGGGUGUCGCCCCGCACUUCCCCCGCCCCGCCCGGGGCCCUCUCCAUCCUGACUUAUCACUGUCGUCUGAGCAGACACGCAAACAAAACGAAAAACUUUCAACAACGGAUCUCUUGGUUCUG
This 234-nucleotide unclassified non-coding RNA is filed under the name rhizosphere metagenome. RNAcentral describes it as "partial ribosomal RNA internal transcribed spacer region". The record is from RNAcentral.